This 446-nucleotide ribosomal RNA is filed under the name uncultured bacterium. Its description in RNAcentral is "SSU rRNA". It matches the Rfam family "Bacterial small subunit ribosomal RNA", at positions 26 to 518 of the family's 1533-position model. The record is from RNAcentral.
AGAACGAACGCUGGCGGCAGGCCUAACACAUGCAAGUCGAACGCUCGUAGCAAUACGAGAGUGGCAGACGGGUGAGUAACGCGUGGGAACCUUCCCAGUGGUACGGAAUAGCUCAGGGAAACUUGAGGUAAUACCGUAUACGCCCUUCGGGGGAAAGAUUAUCGCCAUUGGAUGGGCCCGCGUAGGAUUAGCUAGUUGGUGAGGUAACGGCUCACCAAGGCGACGAUCCUUAGCUGGUCUGAGAGGAUGAUCAGCCACACUGGGACUGAGACACGGCCCAGACUCCUACGGGAGGCAGCAGUGGGGAAUAUUGGACAAUGGGCGCAAGCCUGAUCCAGCCAUGCCGCGUGAGUGACGAAGGCCUUAGGGUUGUAAAGCUCUUUUGGCGGGACGAUAAUGACGGUACCCGCAGAAUAAGCCCCGGCUAACUUCGUGCCAGCAGCCGC